Molecule: ribosomal RNA, 253 nt
Filed under: uncultured bacterium
Lineage: Bacteria
Description: partial 16S ribosomal RNA
Rfam family: Bacterial small subunit ribosomal RNA
Source: RNAcentral
UACGUAGGAGGCGAGCGUUGUCCGGAAUUACUGGGCGUAAAGCGCACGUAGGCGGCUUUGUAAGUUAGAGGUGAAAGCCCGGGGCUCAACUCCGGAAUUGCCUUUAAGACUGCAUCGCUAGAAUUGUGGAGAGGUAAGUGGAAUUCCGAGUGUAGAGGUGAAAUUCGUAGAUAUUCGGAAGAACACCAGUGGCGAAGGCGACUUACUGGACACAUAUUGACGCUGAGGUGCGAAAGCGUGGGGAGCAAACAGG